ACGCUCGACACCUACGGGGAGGCAGCAGUGGGGAAUAUUGCACAAUGGGGGAAACCCUGAUGCAGCGACGCCGCGUGAAGGAAGAAGUAUCUCGGUAUGUAAACUUCUAUCAGCAGGGAANAAAUGACGGUACCUGACUAAGAAGCCCCGGCUAACUACGUGCAAGCAGCCGCGGUAAUCUGAGCGGGCUGGCAAGGC
RNAcentral lists this ribosomal RNA (198 nucleotides) under uncultured bacterium. RNAcentral describes it as "partial 16S ribosomal RNA". It matches the Rfam family "Bacterial small subunit ribosomal RNA", at positions 328 to 539 of the family's 1533-position model. The record is from RNAcentral.